AUUGAACGCUGGCGGCAUGCCUUACACAUGCAAGUCGAACGGCAGCGGACCUUCGGGUGCCGGCGAGUGGCGAACGGGUGAGUAAAGUAUCGGAACGUACCUUUCAGUGGGGGAUAACGUAGCGAAAGUUACGCUAAUACCGCAUAUUCUGUGAGCAGGAAAGCAGGGGAUCGCAAGACCUUGUGCUGAUUGAGCGGCCGAUAUCAGAGUAGCUAGUUGGUGAGGUAAAGGCUCACCACGGCGACGAUCUGUAGCGGGUCUGAGAGGAUGAUCCGCCACACUGGAACUGAGACCCGGUCCAGACUCCUACGGGAGGCAGCAGUGGGGAAUUUUGGACAAUGGGGGCAACCCUGAUCCAGCCAUGCCGCGUGAGUGAAGAAGGCCUUCGGGUUGUAAAGCUCUUUCGGCCGGGAAGAAAUCGCUUAGGUUAAUACCCUGAGUGGAUGACGGUACCGGAAUAAGAAGCACCGGCUAACUACGUGCCAGCCGCCGCCGUAA
RNAcentral lists this ribosomal RNA (498 nucleotides) under uncultured bacterium. RNAcentral's name for it is "partial 16S ribosomal RNA". It matches the Rfam family "Bacterial small subunit ribosomal RNA", at positions 30 to 523 of the family's 1533-position model. The record is from RNAcentral.